Nasonia vitripennis (jewel wasp) is the source of this 938-nucleotide long non-coding RNA. RefSeq lists it as uncharacterized. The transcript has 2 exons. Lineage: Eukaryota; Metazoa; Arthropoda; Insecta; Hymenoptera; Pteromalidae. The record is from RefSeq and is a predicted model, not a curated record.
GGCACUUAAAAUGAUAUCCUGGUUGGCGACGCAUUAGCAGUGUCGCCGUAACUGGCAAGAAUUUUGCUUCUUCAACCUGAUGCAGGUUUUGCUAACUCGACGGUGAGGCUACGAAUUUUUAUUAAAAAAUAUUGGUUGUGUACGAUUACAUCUAUUAUCUAGACCAAAUGCCCAUGCCAAUAGGAUUAUAAAUCCAGUACUUAAUAUCUGAUAGUCUCUGCAUCAAGAGCUUCAGAACCAGAACACAUCAACUAUUAAUGCAAAACUUAUAUGCCACUUCAGCUUGUUGGUAUAGUUUCUUCAAACCUAUUCUCAACUGAUUCCUGUUUACCAGUACGACGCGGAAGUACUUUAGCACAAGUGCCAGUGCAUAAUUAACAUGGGCAGGUUGCAACCCGAGUACCAAUCCAAGUCUAAAUAAAAGUGCUUGCAAUAUCCGUCUGCAGCGAGACCGUUAAAUUAGAAGUUUUGAGAGGCAUCAAUUACAGAGAAGUGGCACACACUUCAUCUUCUUUUUCUCUUAAUUAUGUAUUACCCACAAGACACUUACGUAAGCGUUGAAACUCUGCCGAGCUACCGAUAUGAAUAAUAAAUAGAUUUUCUGUCUCAGCUGCGAACUUAUUCCAGCAUUGUGCGUACGUAUUUCUACUCUCCAUGAAUGAGCUGAACUCAUUUUGAUACAGUGAAUUAUGGUCGAUACCUAAUGUCUUCACGAAGUGCUGAACUUAUAUAUUAUGCGAAGAGUCUAUAGAGAUUAGAUAAAGCAUAUGAGACGUCAUGUGAACAGAUAAUUGCAAUUUUAAGGAUCACUGACUGCAGUUCGCUUACAUAAAUGCGUGAUGCAGAGGACACGCAAAAUAUGCUGAUACUUGUGCAGUUUACGCAGGCAUUUGCUGAGACGCAAAAAAAAACAGAACAAACGGAUGAGCUGAUGCUAU